Molecule: ribosomal RNA, 682 nt
Filed under: Coleoptera sp. NZAC 03010378
Lineage: Eukaryota; Metazoa; Arthropoda; Insecta; Coleoptera
Description: eukaryotic LSU rRNA
Rfam family: Eukaryotic large subunit ribosomal RNA (bases 405-682)
Source: RNAcentral
GCGCUCGGUCGGCGGCGAGAGGCGGUCGCGCGACGGUGAUCCCUCCGGGGUGAUCCGCGCCGGCCGCCGACGUCCGUCUCCGAACACGUGCACUUGUCCCCUUGUAGGACGUCGCGACCCGUUGGGUGCCGGUCUACGGCCCUCGGUGGAGCCCGUGCGGAGCCUCGCGCUCCGUCCGGACCCGAGGUGUCCCGGCCGGCUCGCCCGACGGUAUACCGAUGGCGCGGGGCCGCGGCUCGAACGCGUCCGACCCUCCGCAAGUGCGGACGGUAACCCGGCGGUCGGACCUGGUCCGGCUCCGGGCCCGCCCGGCUGCUGGCGGAGGCGCUCUCGGACAGACUCCGUGCACGCCCGUCGGCGACGCUAUAGCUUUGGGUACUUUCAGGACCCGUCUUGAAACACGGACCAAGGAGUCUAGCAUGUGCGCGAGUCAUUGGGAUUGACUAAACCUAAAGGCGCAAUGAAAGUGAAGGCCCGCCUCGCGCGGGCCGAGGGAGGAUGGGCCGGAGCACGAUCCGGCCCCGCACUCCCGGGGCGUCUCGCUCUCAUCGCGAGGAGAGGCGCACCCAGAGCGUACACGCUGGGACCCGAAAGAUGGUGAACUAUGCCUGGUCAGGACGAAGUCAGGGGAAACCCUGAUGGAGGUCCGUAGCGAUUCUGACGUGCAAAUCGAUCGUCGGAA